Bubalus bubalis (water buffalo) is the source of this 3843-nucleotide long non-coding RNA. RefSeq lists it as uncharacterized. The record is from RefSeq and is a predicted model, not a curated record. The transcript has 2 exons. NCBI's taxonomy places the organism in Eukaryota, Metazoa, Chordata, Mammalia, Artiodactyla, Bovidae.
UCUUCUGUUUGGAGAACCCUAGCCUUCCUGCCUACACUUUAAAAGGAGAAAUUUUAUGGUAUGUGAAUUAUAUGCCCAUUAAAAAUAUAAAUACUUUAUGUUGAAUUACUUGACUAGAACCUGAUUGCUAUAGUAUUAAUCAAGGAGAGUGUGGUAGCUCAUUUUACAUGUCAACUUGGCUGGGUCACAAUACUCAAACAUGUAGUCAAAUGUUAUUCUGAGAAUUUCUAUAAAGGUGUUUUGGGUGAGACUAACAUUUAUAAUAAAUCAGUGGACUUUGAGUAAAGCAGAUUGCUUAUUCAAUCAAGUGAAAGCUUGCAUAGAAUAAAAAGACAAGUCUUUGAGCAAGAGAGAAUUCUCCAGCAAACUGCCUUUGGGCUUCCUCUGCCAGUCUCUUCCUGAUUCUACAGCGGACAGCCUUCAGACUUGAACAACUUCUCUCCUGGGUCUUCAGCCUACCGGCCUACCGUGAAGAUUUUGGACUUGCCAGCUUCCAAAACUUAUUCCUUGUGAUAAAUUUCUCUCUAUAUAGACACAUACAUCCUGUUGGUUUCAUUUCUCUGGAGAAUCCUAUUAUGAAGGUGGUCCCAGGGAGAGGAGAAUGAAGCUUGCUGACACCUUAACAGGUGGUGCAAUGGUAAAGAAUCCAUGUGCCAAUGCAGGAGACACAGGAGAGGUGAGUGAGAUCUUUGGGUGGGCAAAAUCCCCUGGAGUGGGAAAUGGCAGCCCACUCCAGUAUUCUUGCCUGGGAAAUCCCAUGCACAGACAAGCCUGGCAGGCUACAGUCCAUGGGGUCACAAAGGAGCCAGACACGACUGAGCACACACUCAGCAGCAUGCUUAUAUCAAAGAAAGAAAGAUAAAUAAAGCAAAUGUGGAACAAUAUCAACAGUUGGAAACUCUAUUAUGAUAACUGUGUUUGAAAUAUUUCAAAAUAAAAAUGUAGAGAAGGUGGAAAUAAAAUAACAUUCAGAAUAUACAAGUAACUCUUGAAAAAUCAACAAUAAAAAGAUGAAUGAUAUGGAAAAAUGAGCAAAGGACACAGCUGGCAUUUCUCAGACAGGGAACCUAAUUGUAACAAGUACCUGAAGAAAUCUUUAAUGUCAUUGGUAAUCACAAAAAGCAAAAAAUAAAGCCAAAAUGAGAUACACAUUACAUCCAGCAGGUUGACAAAAAUAAGAAAGCCGUGUUAUGCCAAACGUUGGGGAGGCAAUGGGGAACCAGAAACCAUGAUUUCUAAGGUUUUAAAGGGUAGUCUGGCAGGGCAUAGGUGUACCCUAGCGCCCAGCCAUCUGCUCUCAAAAGCCAGAGAACCUCACUGGAACCCUUGUACUAGGAUGUAAGAUGGUCAUCAUAGUAUUGCUUAUCUUAGGGAGGAUGUGAAGGCACCUACGGCCAUCCCCAGGGGACUGGAUCAGGCAAAUGAGGUAGACACCUACUGGUUGGGGUCCACUUUCUACCCAAGCCUUAUUAGAAUUAGAAGUCAGGACUUCUAUAAGAGAAAGGGCCAGAAAACAGGAGGAAGGGGGGACCUUCUGGAAGGAUUCAGGACUCAGGGGUCUGGAAUUAGUUUGAGUUGAGGAAAAUAUAAUUAUAUUUAUUGCAUGUUUAAAUUUACAAGUAGAUAUUCACCCUUGCUACACUGUCAUUAGCAGCUAUUAGACUCACUAACUCCCAGGAGCCAAAUGGAAAGAUAAUGCUUAACCCAAAAAGAGUGGAUUGGUAGCGGUGGAAUCUUUGGCAGAGGACAGUCUAAUGGGGGGAUAUUUUUGCAUGAGAAACCCAUGGUGCAGCACAUGUGAAAUUUUAUGCAUGGCCUAAAAAAGAUUUUCAGAAAAUCUAGAGCUUCUUUUUCUUAAGCGAAAAGUGUAACUGUGUCCUAAAAAUAAAUAUCCACUGUUUAGAUGGAUGCUAGCAAGGUCUAAGCAGUGUAUGUGAAGGUCUUUUCAGGGAAGAAAAAUAAAUCUGUGUUCAUUUACUGUGUAGAAAAAAAAAAUCCCUCAAGUUUUAAAAGAUUAAUGCAUCAGUUCUUUUUGCAAGUGUCGAUUAUUAUCUUGUAGCACUCAGAGGAAUUUAAAAUUCCAAUGCCUUUGUCUCUCUUGAUGUAAAAUAAGGGGCUGAUAUUGAACAAGCUAUAACCAAGGGUGAGGACAUAGAGUAUUCUCUGUCCAGCAUGAAAGGCAUCUUUGCUUGUUGAGUUUAUGCAGGGAUAAAACCUUGGGAAGAGAACUCUCUGAGCAGUGAGCAUCUUCUGAGAAGAACCUGUUCUCUUGAGCCCCACCCUGUUCCCAUGGGAGUCCAGGCAGAGGGCUCCUAGGAAGAGGGCCAGGGUGGGAAGGAGAGAUGAACUUGGACUGAGCUGAAACCACAUGUCAAGGGCUGGACUAAGUAUCCUGUGAGGUCUGGCUUGUAUUAAUAUUUCUCACACUUGCCCUCGUGAAGCAGGCCAUCGUUCCCACCCAUCUUACAGAUAAAAACACUGAGUCCAGAGGGAUUAAAACAGUUGGCCCAAGGUCACACAGCUAGUUCAUGAGCAUGCUAGGAUCCCAUCCCGGGUGGAAUUUUCACACACUGAGCUGCCACACUCAAACAAAAACUGAAAAAUAUUUUGAAGCUUUAUACCAGGACUCACUAGGGCUUCAGCUAGUUUGUCUGAGCUUGUCUUAAAGAUGUCUCCCACUCUUCUUAAGAUGCUUUGGCAUUCCAAUGCAGUCAGCAGAAAAUAGCUGUAGGAACAAUUACUGUCCGAAAUUGAGUCUGCAAAUUUCAGGUCAUUCAGAUCUCCAUUCCAUAUGCAGACUUUAUUAAUACCCUAGCUUCAGGUUCAAAAUGUCAUGUUCACUGAAAAAUUGGAAAAAAAAAAAAAAAACACACAAAAAAACAGUCUGUUGUAGCUAUUGGGAGCUCUUUCCAAGUGAGGCUCAGCUGCCGGGGACACUUAACAAUUGCCCAAAGAGAUGGAGUUGGAGGAGAUGCAGUCUGGCUUCCAAACCUUUAAUAGGCUAUGGUUUUGAGGCUGUUUGCCUCUAACCUUUCAAAAUUCCUGCUCUGCAGGGAGGAAGAGGCAUCAACUCGAGAUCAAGGUUGAUGAAAAGUUGAAUAUUCAAACUGACAUUCACCAAGAAUGAUGAGAAAGGGAGCUUUAACGGCAUAACAAACGAUUCUCCUGAAAGAAAAUGUCAGGCAGGCUAUUUUUUUUCUUGGACUUUCUUUCCUCAUCAUCUCCGCUCUCCCCCACCCCCCAAUCCACCCACACACACUUAAAUUUUGGCUUAUUUAAACUUCAGGAGAGUUGCCAGCCAGGCAGAAAGAAGUGAAAUUAGGACGAUUCCAAAGCCUUGGUUUCCAGACACUAAUAAAUUAGGUGAAUGAUAAGGCAUGGGUGAAAAUCUGCAUCGGGGCCAAUUUAAAAGUGAUUCUUCCUGCCUGAGUCAGCACUGGCUUAGUGGGGCUUGGGGUCGUGGUAGAGAAAUCUCUCCGGCUGUCUGUGCUCUGAGUUCUGGCUUAUCUUGGGAUGGAGAGGUGAAAUCACACCCUGAAGUGGAUUCAGUGUAAUGAGGGCCAACAGAAUUGUUCUGCUUCCAGAUGAAAUGUUUGUUUCAAACAGAUCAGCUUUGCAAGGACGUCGCUGAAAACCUCAACUGUUCUAUUUGAAGAUAAAAAGUCUGUGUGCACUUAAUCUGCGGCUCAUUUGGCUUCGCCUGGUGUUGAAUUUUAUGUGAUUAUAAGGCCCUCCCUUGGGAUUUUUCUUCAAAGAGGGAAAUGACUCAUGUGCUAUGGCCUUGUUAUUUCCAGGAGAGUGGCAAGUUGUCACAAUAAAGGGUCUAAAUUUUAAUGUUUCAAA